RNAcentral lists this ribosomal RNA (996 nucleotides) under Haplopteris ensiformis. Its description in RNAcentral is "23S ribosomal RNA". It matches the Rfam family "Bacterial large subunit ribosomal RNA", at positions 1 to 822 of the family's 2925-position model. Lineage: Eukaryota; Viridiplantae; Streptophyta; Polypodiopsida; Polypodiales; Pteridaceae. The record is from RNAcentral.
AUCGAAAAGAAUGCAUUGGAUGGAUGCCUGGGCAUUGAGAAGGAAGGACGCUUCCAAAGGCGAAAGGCCAUGGGGAGAUACCGUCUGCGAUCCAUGGGUUUCCAAUCGGGAAACCGUAUCCAAGCUUGCCGGGCAUGCCGUGUGCUGCGGCUCCGCCUCGGACUUGAGAUACUUAGCGAACUGAAACAUCAUUGUAGCUAAAGGAAAGGAAAUCAACUGAGACUCCGUUAGUAGCAGCGAGCGAAAGCGGAUUAGGCAAAGAAAGGGGAAGGGGCCCCGAGAGAGGGACCCCCGCUUUCCCUGGCCCUGUGCGGGGGAGAACUUGCAGUAGGGGCCUCAAGGAAUUCUGAAAAGGUUGGAAGAUCUGGCCAAAGAAGGUGAUAGCCCCGUAUAUAUUUCCUAACAAGUUUGAUUACUAUUGCAAAACGCGAAUACCGUGUUUGAAUAAUGAUCGCUUUGUAGUUACUAAGGGGGACCACCCUCGCGGCCUAAGUAUUCCUCAAUGACCGAUAGCGUACCACAAGUACCGUGAGGGAAAAGUGAAAAGACCCCGCCGUAUGCCGGGAGUGCAAUAGACAACCUGAAAUCCGGUGCAAACCAUCAGUCGGAAGAGCAAAGCUGAGAAAACGAAGGCGAAGCCACUGAUGUUCGAUGGAACGCAUACGCGAAGCUGAGAAAGCGCUGUAGCUGGGCAAAGCCACUAAUGUGUCGCCUUGAGCGAACCCUUGAGCGAAGCUUCGCGUUGUCGGCUCUCGCUCGGCGCACUUUCCACCCGUAACGGCGUACCUUUUGCAUAAUGGGUCAGCGAGUGAAUGGGAACAGCGGCUUAAGCCAUUAGGUGUAGGCGCAAUGAGGUUGAAUCUUCGGCGUUGUUUCUAUUUGACCCGAAACCGAUUGAUCUAGCCACGAGCAGGUUGAAUCGAGCUCUCCACAGAGGCCUUAGAGGACCGAACUCACGUAUGUGGCAAAAUACGGGGAUGACUUGUGGCUAGGGGU